UCACAUCACAAUAUCCUUGUUAUAGGAUGCUGGAAUUCUGACAAUAAUUAAUUCCUUGCCAAUUAACAAAUAAGGAAGAUGACAAGAUCUGCCUCAAGCAUUAUUCUGGAUGUAUAUAAAGGAGAUGGUAAAUGCUUUACUCCUUAAAGAGCAUCAACAAUCUGUCAAGCUUAGUAGCUUUACACACAUCUUGUUUCAUUAUGAAGAUUGCCGUUAUUUUCCUACUUCUGGGCAUCUCCAGCUUUAUUGAGACAAUUACAUGUGGUGUGCAA
Long non-coding RNA from Nanorana parkeri, 272 nucleotides. RefSeq lists it as uncharacterized. NCBI's taxonomy places the organism in Eukaryota, Metazoa, Chordata, Amphibia, Anura, Dicroglossidae. The transcript has 3 exons. The record is from RefSeq and is a predicted model, not a curated record.